AUAUCCACAAAUAAACGGGUCGAGUCGGAUAUAAACGGAUCGGAUUAAACUGAUCGAAUCAAGAAGAAAAGGGUUUUUUAAUAUUUGACUUUGUAAUUAAGGGUUAAACUAAUAAAUCCUAAAUUCCCAAUCAGCGUUUUAAUUUUUUGGAACUAAACAUCGUUUUCUGAUUGCAGUAUUAUUUUUUUAAAAAUUAAAACGCCUAAAAUAUAAGUUGAUAAAAAAAUGCCUCUGCCCGGAUUCAAACACGCGACCUCGCGUGCAGUGGAGCGAAUUCCUGAACCCCCAACGCCACUGAGCUACGCCUUUGGUGUUUGUUCAGGGGGUUCAAUAGUAUAUAUAUACACAUAAAUUAAUAUUUUAAUCUUUAUAUAUAUAGUGUAAUUUUUCGACGAA
RNAcentral lists this long non-coding RNA (396 nucleotides) under Solanum tuberosum (potato). Its description in RNAcentral is "long non-coding RNA (STUB_LNC003434)". The record is from RNAcentral. Lineage: Eukaryota; Viridiplantae; Streptophyta; Magnoliopsida; Solanales; Solanaceae.